Molecule: ribosomal RNA, 1492 nt
Filed under: uncultured rumen bacterium
Lineage: Bacteria
Description: partial 16S rRNA
Rfam family: Bacterial small subunit ribosomal RNA
Source: RNAcentral
AGAGUUUGAUCCUGGCUCAGGAUGAACGCUAGCGGCAGGCUUAACACAUGCAAGUCGAGGGGCAGCGGGUGUAGCAAUACAUGCCGGCGACCGGCGCAAGGGUGCGUAACGCGUGAGCAAUCUGCCCGUAUCAGGGGGAUAAGCGAUGGAAACGUCGUCUAAUACCGCAUAACAACUGAGGAGGCAUCUUCUUAGUUUGAAAGCUUCGGUGGAUACGGAUGAGCUCGCGAGACAUUAGUUAGUUGGCGGGGUAACGGCCCACCAAGACCGCGAUGUCUAGGGGAACUGAGAGGUUGGUCCCCCACACUGGAACUGAGAUACGGUCCAAACACCUACGGGUGGCAGCAGUUUCGAAUCAUUCACAAUGGGCGAAAGCCUGAUGGUGCGACGUCGCGUGGAGGAUGAAGGUCUUCGGAUUGUAAACUCCUGUCAUCGGUGAGCAAAAGGUCGGUGAAGAAUCGAUUUUGAGUUAAGCCGAAGAGGAAGCAGUGGCAAACUCCGUGCCAGCAGCCGCGGUAAUACGGAGACUGCGAGCGUUACUCGGAAUUACUGGGCGUAAAGGGUGCGCAGGCGGUUGUGUGUGUCGAGUCUGGAAGUCGGUGACUUAAUCAUCGUGAGGACUCGAAACUGCACGACUUGAGUAUCGGAGGGGUAAGCGGAAUUCCGUGAGUAGCAGUGAAAUGCGUAGAUAUACGGAAGAACACCAAAGGCGAAGGCAGCUUACUUGACGAAUACUGACGCUCGGGCACGAAAGCGUGGGGAGCGAAAAGGAUUAGAUACCCUUGUAGUCCACGCCGUCAACAUUGUACACUAGGUCUCGGUAUGUCGAUCGUAUCGGGAUCCAAGCUAACGUGAUAAGUGUACCGCCUGAGGACUACGGCCGCAAGGCUAAAACUUAAAGGAAUUGACGGGGACCCGCACAAGCGGUGGAGCAUGUGGCUUAAUUCGAUGCAACGCGAAGAACCUUACCAAGACUUGACAUGUAGAGGACAGGGUAUGAAAGUACCUCUUUCUUCGGGACCUUUACACAGGUGCUGCAUGGCUGUCGUCAGCUCGUGUCGUGAGAUGUUCGGUUAAGUCCGGCAACGAGCGCAACCCUUGUCCUUAUUUGCCAGCGCGUUACGGCGGGAACUAUAAGGAGACAAACUUUUAAAGUGGGAAGGUGGGGAUGACGUCAAGUCAGUAUGGCCCUUACGUCUUGGGCUGCACACGUGCUACAAUGCCCGGUACAAAGGGAUGCAAGGUCGCGAGACGGAGCAAAUCCUCAAAGCCGGGCUCAGUUCGGAUUGAAGUCUGCAAUUUGACUUCAUGAAGUCGGAAUCGCUAGUAAUGGUAUAUCAGCUACGGUACCGUGAAUACGUUCCCGGGUCUUGUACACACCGCCCGUCAAGUCAUGAAAGCCUGUUUUACCCAAAGUACGCUCAGCCAACCGCAAGGGGGCGGCGUCCUAAGGUAGGGCGGGUGAUUGGGACUAAGUCGUAACAAGGUAGCC